GCCGUGAGAUGUCUCCAAAGAGUCAUAGCGGUUUUUUUCUGGUCACUGCUGAAUUUUCAACGUUGAACAUUUUGGCGACCUAUCACAGGUGCCAGCGGUCGCCUGUGAAGGUCGCGUAGGUGGGACAGACCCUUUAGGGCUUCAAAGCGCCAGAGACCCGGGUUUGAUCCUGAC
Long non-coding RNA from Amblyraja radiata (thorny skate), 174 nucleotides. RefSeq lists it as uncharacterized. NCBI's taxonomy places the organism in Eukaryota, Metazoa, Chordata, Chondrichthyes, Rajiformes, Rajidae. The transcript has 3 exons. The record is from RefSeq and is a predicted model, not a curated record.